Molecule: long non-coding RNA, 229 nt
Organism: Coffea eugenioides
Lineage: Eukaryota; Viridiplantae; Streptophyta; Magnoliopsida; Gentianales; Rubiaceae
Exons: 3
Source: RefSeq, a predicted model, not a curated record
ACUUCAUCUUGUCUUUGUUGAAAAUUUUCAUUUCAGCGUGUUAAGGUUUAUCGGCUGAAUGAUGAUGGUAAAUGGGAUGACCAAGGAACCGGGCAUGUUACUGUUGAUUAUUUACAGAGAUCGGAAGAGUUAGGUUUAUUUGUUAUUAGUGAAGAAGAUGAUGAAACAUUACUUGUGCACCGGAUAAGCUCAGAUGACAUCUACCGCAAACAAGAAGAUACAAUCAUUU